Non-coding RNA from Xyrichtys novacula (pearly razorfish), 859 nucleotides. The record is from the annotation of a GenBank genome assembly. NCBI's taxonomy places the organism in Eukaryota, Metazoa, Chordata, Actinopteri, Labriformes, Labridae.
AUCAAGUGUUCCCAUGAAGAGAGUGGAAGUGGAACCACGAGGGUGAUGGAGAAGGAAAUGACAGAACAAAGAAAAAGACAGAAGCAGAAAACAGCCUUUUCCCGUCUCUUCUGAAUCGCGUUUCUGUUUGAUACCGAGCCCACACAGCUCUCCCCAGACUCCCAGUCUGUCCUCGGGCUGUGCUUUCACUCCUGCAGACCCACUCUGGCCUUUGAUCUACAUAUGCACACUGUCAUAUAUCUCUGCCCUGCUGCAUCAGCCCCUCUCCCUGCACACCGGGUGUAUGGUAAGUAGAUUGAUGAAGGGGUCUUAUGGUGAUUUAUCGCUGCUAAUCAACGCGGGGGGAAAAAUUCAGGUCUGUUAUGUAACAUUCAUGAGGGGUGAGGUUUUCCCAUUGUGUUUAUCCGGGGUGUGAGAAUACUCUACACAGAAAUGCAGCUGAAUAAGGAUCUCUACAUGAGCUUCAACUUGAUAAUCGUCUUGGGUUUCUAUUUUCUGUGCCUCUGUUUUGGUCUAUUUCUAAGCUACAGAUGAAAUCAAACCAGUGGAUGUAUAACAAACAGACCCCAGUACGCUGUCGUCUGAGAGGAGGUUCAGCACGGACAAGUAUCUUCCUCAUUUCACCGUGAACUAGACUUUGCUCGGCGGUGUCCUUUCAGCUUCCCAGGGACUCUUGGGGGGCUCAGACAGCUGCCACUCAGCGCUCGGCAGCCACAGGACUGCGACCUUGAGCGCCAUAACACAGCUGAGUGCCCAACAGCAUGUACCAGACAGAAAUGUCAGCGUCUAAUGGCAGGAGAACAUUUUCAGAGCCUCGUUUAAAGAGGAAGCUGCUCGGUCGGGGGGGAAAAAUAAUCAC